UAGGGAAUCUUCGGCAAUGGGGGGAACCCUGACCGAGCAACGCCGCGUGAGUGAAGAAGGUUUUCGGAUCGUAAAGCUCUGUUGUUAAGGAAGAACGAGUGUGAGAAUGGAAAGUUCAUGCUGUGACGGUACUUAACCAGAAAGGGACGGCUAACUACGUGCCAGCAGCCGCGGUAAUACGUAGGUCCCGAGCGUUGUCCGGAUUUAUUGGGCGUAAAGCGAGCGCAGGCGGUUAGAAAAGUCUGAAGUGAAGGGCAGUGGCUCAACCAUUGUAGGCUUUGGAAACUGUUUAACUUGAGUGCAGAAGGGGAGAGUGGAAUUCCAUGUGUAGCGGUGAAAUGCGUAGAUAUAUGGAGGAACACCGGUGGCGAAAGCGGCUCUCUGGUCUGUAACUGACGCUGAGGCUCGAAAGCGUGGGUAGCAAACAGG
RNAcentral lists this ribosomal RNA (429 nucleotides) under Bacteroidota bacterium. Its description in RNAcentral is "Bacteroidetes bacterium partial 16S ribosomal RNA". It matches the Rfam family "Bacterial small subunit ribosomal RNA", at positions 355 to 776 of the family's 1533-position model. Lineage: Bacteria; Pseudomonadati; Bacteroidota. The record is from RNAcentral.